Molecule: ribosomal RNA, 801 nt
Filed under: uncultured Neisseriales bacterium
Lineage: Bacteria; Pseudomonadati; Pseudomonadota; Betaproteobacteria; Neisseriales
Description: SSU rRNA
Rfam family: Bacterial small subunit ribosomal RNA
Source: RNAcentral
AGCACAGAGAAGCUUGCUUCUUGGGUGGCGAGUGGCGAACGGGUGAGUAAUAUAUCGGAACGUACCGAGUAAUGGGGGAUAACUAAUCGAAAGAUUAGCUAAUACCGCAUAUUCUCUGAGGAGGAAAGCAGGGGACCUUCGGGCCUUGCGUUAUUCGAGCGGCCGAUAUCUGAUUAGCUAGUUGGUGGGGUAAAGGCCUACCAAGGCGACGAUCAGUAGCGGGUCUGAGAGGAUGAUCCGCCACACUGGGACUGAGACACGGCCCAGACUCCUACGGGAGGCAGCAGUGGGGAAUUUUGGACAAUGGGCGCAAGCCUGAUCCAGCCAUGCCGCGUGUCUGAAGAAGGCCUUCGGGUUGUAAAGGACUUUUGUCAGGGAAGAAAAGGCUGUUGCUAAUAUCGACAGCUGAUGACGGUACCUGAAGAAUAAGCACCGGCUAACUACGUGCCAGCAGCCGCGGUAAUACGUAGGGUGCGGGCGUUAAUCGGAUUUACUGGGCGUAAAGCGAGCGCAGACGGUUACUUAAGCAGGAUGUGAAAUCCUCGGGCUCAACCUGGGAACUGCGUUCUGAACUGGGUGACUAGAGUGUGUCAGAGGGAGGUAGAAUUCCACGUGUAGCAGUGAAAUGCGUAGAGAUGUGGAGGAAUACCGAUGGCGAAGGCAGCCUCCUGGGAUAACACUGACGUUCAUGCUCGAAAGCGUGGGUAGCAAACAGGAUUAGAUACCCUGGUAGUCCACGCCCUAAACGAUGUCAAUUAGCUGUUGGGCAACUUGAUUGCUUAGUAGCGUAGCUAACGCGUG